CCUACGGGAGGCUGCAGUAGGGAAUAUUGCUCAAUGGGGGAAACCCUGAAGCAGCAACGCCGCGUGGAGGAUGAAGGUUUUCGGAUUGUAAACUCCUUUUGUUAGAGAAGAUAAUGGCGGUAUCUAACGAAUAAUCACCGGCUAACUCCGUUCCAGCCGCCGCGGUAAUACGGAGGAUGCGAGCGUUAUCCGGAUUUAUUGGGGUUAAGGGGUGCGCAGGCGGCGAGUUAAGUCAGCGUUAAAAUUUCGGGGCUCAACCCCGACGAGCCGUUGAAACUGGCUGGCUUGAGUGGGAGAGAAGUAGGCGGAAUGCGUGGUGUAGCGGUGAAAUGCAUAGAUAUCACGAAGAACUCCGAUUGCGAAGGCAGCAUACUGGAGUGCAACUGACGCUCAGGCACGAAAGCGUGGGUAUCGAACAGGAUUAGAUACCCUAGUAGUC
Molecule: ribosomal RNA, 439 nt
Filed under: uncultured bacterium
Lineage: Bacteria
Description: partial 16S ribosomal RNA
Rfam family: Bacterial small subunit ribosomal RNA
Source: RNAcentral